Molecule: ribosomal RNA, 249 nt
Filed under: uncultured bacterium
Lineage: Bacteria
Description: partial 16S ribosomal RNA
Rfam family: Bacterial small subunit ribosomal RNA
Source: RNAcentral
AUACGGAGGGUGCGAGCGUUGUUCGGAAUUAUUGGGCGUAAAGCGCGUGUAGGCGGUCUUUUAAGUCUGAUGCGAAAGCCCCUGGGCUCAACCCAGGGAAGUGCAUUGGAAACUGGGAGACUUGAAUACGGGAGAGGGUAGUGGAAUUCCUAGUGUAGGAGUGAAAUCCGUAGAUAUUAGGAGGAACACCGGUGGCGAAGGCGGCUACCUGGACCGAUAUUGACGCUGAGACGCGAAAGCGUGGGGAGC